RNAcentral lists this ribosomal RNA (1947 nucleotides) under human gut metagenome. Its description in RNAcentral is "bacterial LSU rRNA". It matches the Rfam family "Bacterial large subunit ribosomal RNA", at positions 3 to 2005 of the family's 2925-position model. The record is from RNAcentral.
UCAAGUUACUAAGAGCGCAGGGCGGAUGCCUUGGCACCAAGAGGCGAAGAAGGACGUAGAAAGCUGCGAAAAGCUCCCUAGAUCUGCAAACAAGAAACGAAAGGGAGAUAUCCGAAUGGGGCAACCCACUUAAGCAAACCUUAAGUAUCUAUAUAUGAAUAAAAUAGUAUAUAGAGGCAAUACCGGGAGAACUGAAACAUCUAAGUACCCCGAGGAACAGAAAGAAACAUCGAUUUUCAAAGUAGCGGCGAGCGAAAUGGAAAGAGCCCGCUUAAAGAAAUACUAAAAAAGUAUCCGAAUGAUCUUGGAAAAAUCAUCCAAAGAAAGUGAAAGACUUGUAGGAGAAGAUAUUAAUAUUUCAAUAAGCUUAACGAGUACCACAAGGCACGAGAAACCUGGUGGGAAUACGGGAGGACCACCUCCCAAGGCUAAAUACUACUUGGUGACCGAUAGAGAAUUAGUACCGUGAGGGAAAGGUAAAAAGAACCCCGAAAGGGGAGUGAAAUAGAACCUGAAACCCUGCGUUUACAAGCAAAGAAAGCACGUGAAAAGUGCAAUCUUGUACUUUUUGUAGAACGGGCCAGCGAGUUACUUUUGUAAGCAAGGUUAAGAAGUUAAGCUUCGAAGCCGAAGAGAAAUCAAGUCUUAAUAGGGCGACAUAGUUUACAGGAGUAGACCCGAAACCAGGUGACCUAUCCAUGAGCAGAGUGAAGUUAAAGUAAAAUUUAAUGGAGGCUCGAACCGGGUGUGGUUUAAAACACAUCGGAUGACUUGUGGAUAGGGGUGAAAAGCCAAUCGAACCUGGAGAUAGCUGGUUCUCCUCGAAAUAGCUUUAGGGCUAGCCUUUAGGAUGUUUAAUGGAGGUAGAGCUACUGACUGGUUGCGGGGUGUUUAUACAUUACCAAAACCUAUCAAACUCCGAAUGCCAAGAAAACAAACCUAAGGAGUCAGACUAUGUGGGAUAAGCUUCAUAGUCGAAAGGGAAAGAGCCCAGACCAUCAGCUAAGGUCCCCAAAUACCGAUUAAGUGGUAAAGGAUGUGAAGUUACCCAAACAACUAGGAUGUUGGCUUAGAAGCAGCCAUACAUUUAAAGAGUGCGUAAUAGCUCACUAGUCGAGUGACCUUGCGCCGAAGAUUUCCGGGGCUAAAUCGGAUACCGAAGCUAUGGACUCAAUAUGAGUGGUAGAGGAGCAUUGUGUAAUAGGCAGAAGCAGUACCGAAAGGCGCUGUGGACGAAACACAAGAGAGAAUGCUGGCAUAAGUAGCGAGAAGGAGUGUGAGAAUCACUCCCGUCGAAAACCUAAGGGUUCCUGAGCAAGGCUCGUCCCCUCAGGGUAAGUCGGGACCUAAGGCGAGGCCGAAAGGCGUAGCCGAUGGACAAGUAGUAAAAAUUCUACUACUAUCAAUUAUCGUAUAAAUGAAGCGGGGACACAGAAGGAUAAGCUAAGCGUACCAGAUGGACGAGUACGCUCAAAUAAAAAGGCAUGCCAGGACUAAUAACCAGGCUAAGCCAAUUUAUGAUGAGGAUCGAAAAUAAGUAGAGAAGUAGCCGAUUUCACACUGUCAAGAAAAGCCGCUAAAUAGAUAAAAGAUACCCGUACCGUAAACCGACACAGGUAGGAAAGGAGAGAAUCCUAAGACGCGCGGAAGAACCUUUGUUAAGGAACUCGGCAAAAUGACCCCGUAAGUUAGCGAGAAGGGGAGCCAGAGCGAUCUGGCCGCAGUGAAUAGGCCCAAGCGACUGUUUACCAAAAACACAAGUUUCUGCUAAGUCGAAAGACGACGUAUAGGAGCUGACACCUGCCCGGUGCUGGAAGGUUAAGGGGAAAUGUUAGCGUAAGCGAAGCAUAGAACUUAAGCCCCAGUAAACGGCGGCCGUAACUAUAACGGUCCUAAGGUAGCGAAAUUCCUUGUCGGGUAAGUUCCGACCCGCACGAAAGGUGUAAC